GAUGAACGCUGGCGGCGUGCCUAAUACAUGCAAGUCGAGCGAACAGAUAAGGAGCUUGCUCCUUUGACGUUAGCGGCGGACGGGUGAGUAACACGUGGGUAACCUACCUAUAAGACUGGGAUAACUUCGGGAAACCGGAGCUAAUACCGGAUAACAUUUGGAACCGCAUGGUUCUAAAGUGAAAGAUGGUUUUGCUAUCACUUAUAGAUGGACCCGCGCCGUAUUAGCUAGUUGGUAAGGUAACGGCUUACCAAGGCAACGAUACGUAGCCGACCUGAGAGGGUGAUCGGCCACACUGGAACUGAGACACGGUCCAGACUCCUACGGGAGGCAGCUGUAGGGAAUCUUCCGCAAAGGGCGAAAGCCUGACGGAGCAACGCCGCGUGAGUGAUGAAGGGUUUCGGCUCGUAAAACUCUGUUAUUAGGGAAGAACAAACGUGUAAGUAACUGUGCACGUCUUGACGGUACCUAAUCAGAAAGCCACGGCUAACUACGUG
RNAcentral lists this ribosomal RNA (497 nucleotides) under uncultured bacterium. Its description in RNAcentral is "partial 16S ribosomal RNA". It matches the Rfam family "Bacterial small subunit ribosomal RNA", at positions 28 to 507 of the family's 1533-position model. The record is from RNAcentral.